GUUUAAAUUCCACUUAGAAAAAUAUCAAGAAAAGCGCGUCAUGAUUGAAACCUAAAAUAGAUGUGAUAAAAAUGCUAGACGAGCCUCUGAUUACCAUUUUGAGAGGUGCUUUGACCGUCGUCAACCGUUCCUGAACAGUUUGAAGUCAAAGUUUUACGCAGCCAAGAAAUGAAGAUAAAGUAAUGAAUGAAGCUGUGGAUGUUAGUUUAUUGGCCCUUGUAAUCCAGAAUCCACAGAUUUCAUCCUGAGAGAUAGUAGCAGAAUCCGGGACUUCCCAAAGCACUGUGAUGAGAGUUUUGAAAAAACACAAAUUUAAAAAUCGAGGUUCACAGAGAAAUUCGGCAAGAGGACACUAUGUCGCCCAAAUUACUCAAUCUAGUACUCGAAGAAGCCUUUAUAGACACAUGGAAUGGGGACAUAAACGUUUAUUUAUCAAUGGCGAAAGGAUCACCCACUUGCUAUAUGCUGACGAUGUAGUAUUAAUUGCAGAUAACCCAGACCAAAUACAAUAAAUGCUGUUCGAGGUGGACGAACAAAUACCAAGGGACAAGAAAAAUAAAUAUAGAAAGAUUUAAACAAACUGCAAAAAACGCCCACUAAUAAACUUUCCCAAUUCGAACACAUCCAGAUAAAACGUAUGAAUAUACAUUGUAUUCUUUACUAGCA
This is a long non-coding RNA of Dendroctonus ponderosae (mountain pine beetle), 666 nucleotides long. RefSeq lists it as uncharacterized. The record is from RefSeq and is a predicted model, not a curated record. The transcript is spliced from 2 exons. NCBI's taxonomy places the organism in Eukaryota, Metazoa, Arthropoda, Insecta, Coleoptera, Curculionidae.